This is a non-coding RNA of Phrynosoma platyrhinos (Desert horned lizard), 72 nucleotides long. Lineage: Eukaryota; Metazoa; Chordata; Lepidosauria; Squamata; Phrynosomatidae. The record is from the annotation of a GenBank genome assembly.
UCCUUGAUGGUCUAGUGCUCAGGAUAUGGCAUUCUCACUACUAUGGCAUCAGUUCAAUUUCUGAUCAGAGAA